RNAcentral lists this ribosomal RNA (774 nucleotides) under uncultured Neocallimastigales. RNAcentral's name for it is "partial large subunit ribosomal RNA". It matches the Rfam family "Eukaryotic large subunit ribosomal RNA", at positions 23 to 645 of the family's 3401-position model. Lineage: Eukaryota; Fungi; Neocallimastigomycota; Neocallimastigomycetes; Neocallimastigales. The record is from RNAcentral.
GAGAGAGACAUGCGCGCAUAUCAAUAAGCGGAGGAAAAGAAACUAACAAGGAUUCCCUUAGUAACGGCGAGUGAAGCGGGAAGAGCUCAAAUUUGAAAUCUUCAAGGUUUUACCUUGACGAAUUGUAGUUUAAAGAAGUGUUUUCUGCUGAAGUUUUGGUAAAAGUUCUUUGGAAUAGGACAUCAUAGAGGGUGAGAAUCCCGUAUUUGACCAUUAUUUUCAGCUUUGUGAUACACUUUCAAAGAGUCGGAUUGCUUGGGAAUGCAGUCCAAAAUGGGUGGUAAAUUUCAUCUAAAGCUAAAUAUUGGCGAGAGACCGAUAGCGAACAAGUACCGUGAGGGAAAGAUGAAAAGAACUUUGAAAAGAGAGUUAAACAGUACGUGAAAUUGUCAAAAGGGAAGCGUUUGACACCAGUGUUGUUUUCUCGAAAAUCAAUUAAAAAUGGCUCGAUUUUGUAUUGCUUGAGACCUUAAAAGCUCACUGUACAUUUUUCGUGUCUUUUUUAAUGCACUUUUCGUUUAACAAGUCAACAUCAAUUUCUUUUGUUGUAAAAGGGUCAUUGGAAGGUGGCUUUCUUUUCGGAGAAAGUGUUUAUAGCCUUUGGCCUCUGCAAUCGAAGAGACUGAGGUCUGCAGCGUAGACUCUUCGGGGUUAGAUACAUUUGUGCUAAGUUAUAGCUUUUUAUAGACAACUUGUUGACUAUAAUUAGUCUUGUAGCUUACUCGCUUAUGCUAUUUUACCUACGCUUAGGAUGUUGAAGUCAUCGUAUCGCGC